GCGGGCAGCCCACCGUGAAAACCCUAGCCAUUCUCCUUCCCGUUUCUGUUCACACCUCGCGGCGGCGGAUCGAGCGAGAGACCCCAUGGCAGCGUCGGGGUUGGUCUGGAUGCGGCGUCGUGGCCGCACGGCAUCUGGGCUCACGGUGCCUCGCAGGAGAUGCGGCCUUGCGCUGCCGCCACGGCCGCACCUACCGCCGGCGGGCCUCCACGGCUUCUUGGAUGCGCACUUUGCGUCCCCUGAGAACCUGGCUUCCGUGCUAGCGCUUGCCAUGGUGCUGCAUCGCGAGCAUGCUGAGCUCGACGCGUUUCCCGACCAUCUCAAGGGGCAACGUCCGCCUCAGCAUAAGGAGCGACAAGUUCCUCGAUGAGGCGAUGACUCUCCGUGGAGGCAGCACCGACCUUCUCUACAGAUGGAAACUGUGGCAUGACCGUGAGAUAGGUUGCAAGUAUUCUCUUGAAGAACUUUGUUGCGAAAAACUGGUACCCUGCUGAUCCUGGUAUGUGAAGGUCAGUAAUUAUACACCAUUUGUAUGUGCCAUGUUAAGUUAGCCCUUUUUCCUUUCUCUAGAAAAAAAGCAAAAAAUUAUUAGAAACUGAACAGCCUACAUUCCUAGUGAAAAGUUCUUUGAUGAGCAGCCAGAAGUCCACAUGAUAGUUAAAUUAGCUUUUCUACUUGUGCAACUAUUGAUGCCCCUUUCUGUUGACUACAUUCCUACAUUCCUACAUGUUUGUGCCCCUUUCUGUUGACUACUUAUUGAUGCCUUUAUUUUUAGGUGAGGAGGAAAACUGAAUAAUGACAUGAUAGGGGUCCCUGCUUAUGAUAAGGCGACAUUACUUUGCAAAUUCUUUAGUUUUUCUUGUAGUAUUUGUUUAAUGUAUUGGCUAGCUUGAUAAGAAUGUUCCUUUUUUUUUGGCGAAACAGAUAAGAAUGUUCCUUUUAUAUGCAGGCAGCACUAUUUUUCUUGCAGUAUUUGCUUAAUGCAAGAAGAGUGUUCACAUGGAAUGCAGAAAAAACAAGAAUCUUGAGAAUUGGAGAGAGCAGGAGUUGCUGUGUAAAAUAGGCUUGUUAUUAGUCUCUAUUUGAUGAUGUAUGAAAGUUUCUGGUAUUUCAAGUUGUUUAGCUAGUUACUCUACAAAUUUGCUUGUAAGUUAAUAUCGACAAUGUCCAAUUCAUGCCGUUAUAUGAACAAGCCUGAUUUGUAUCCGUAGCAUUCCAUUUGAUUAAUAAUCGUUGGAUAAAGAAUUACCAUUUGCUUUA
Long non-coding RNA from Panicum virgatum (switchgrass), 1260 nucleotides. RefSeq lists it as uncharacterized. The record is from RefSeq and is a predicted model, not a curated record. NCBI's taxonomy places the organism in Eukaryota, Viridiplantae, Streptophyta, Magnoliopsida, Poales, Poaceae. The transcript is spliced from 2 exons.